Molecule: transfer RNA, 73 nt
Filed under: Stegodyphus mimosarum
Lineage: Eukaryota; Metazoa; Arthropoda; Arachnida; Araneae; Eresidae
Rfam family: tRNA
About the family: Transfer RNA (tRNA) molecules are approximately 80 nucleotides in length. Their secondary structure includes four short double-helical elements and three loops (D, anti-codon, and T loops). Further hydrogen bonds mediate the characteristic L-shaped molecular structure. tRNAs have two regions of fundamental functional importance: the anti-codon, which is responsible for specific mRNA codon recognition, and the 3' end, to which the tRNAs corresponding amino acid is attached (by aminoacyl-tRNA synthetases). tRNAs cope with the degeneracy of the genetic code in two manners: having more than one tRNA (with a specific anti-codon) for a particular amino acid; and 'wobble' base-pairing, i.e. permitting non-standard base-pairing at the 3rd anti-codon position.
Source: Rfam by way of RNAcentral
GCCUUCGUGGUGUAAUGGUCAGCACACUCGGCGAAGAUUCGAGAGGUCAGAGGUUCGAGUCCCGGCGAGGGCA